GCCAGACUCCUACGGGAGGCAGCAGUGGGGAAUAUUGCACAAUGGGCGCAAGCCUGAUGCAGCCAUGCCGCGUGUAUGAAGAAGGCCUUCGGGUUGUAAAGUACUUUCAGCGGGGAGGAAGGUGUUGUGGUUAAUAACCACAGCAAUUGACGUUACCCGCAGAAGAAGCACCGGCUAACUCCGUGCCAGCAGCCGCAGUAAUACGGAGGGUGCAAGCGUUAAUCGGAAUUACUGGGCGUAAAGCGCACGCAGGCGGUCUGUCAAGUCGGAUGUGAAAUCCCCGGGCUCAACCUGGGAACUGCAUUCGAAACUGGCAGGCUGGAGUCUUGUAGAGGGGGGUAGAAUUCCAGGUGUAGCGGUGAAAUGCGUAGAGAUCUGGAGGAAUACCGGUGGCGAAGGCGGCCCCCUGGGACGCAACUGACGCUCAUACACGAAAGCGUGGGGAGCAAACAGGAUUAGAUACCCCGGUA
Molecule: ribosomal RNA, 470 nt
Filed under: uncultured bacterium
Lineage: Bacteria
Description: bacterial SSU rRNA
Rfam family: Bacterial small subunit ribosomal RNA
Source: RNAcentral